RNAcentral lists this unclassified non-coding RNA (382 nucleotides) under soil metagenome. RNAcentral's name for it is "partial contains 5.8S ribosomal RNA, internal transcribed spacer 2, and large subunit ribosomal RNA". The stretch from base 1 to 120 matches the Rfam family "5.8S ribosomal RNA", at positions 35 to 154 of the family's 154-position model. The record is from RNAcentral.
GAUGAAGAACGCAGCGAAAUGCGAUAAGUAGUGUGAAUUGCAGAAUUCAGUAAAUCAUCGAAUCUUUGAACGCACAUUGCGCCCCUCGGCACUCCGGGGGGCAUGCCUGUCCGAGCGUCAUUGCACCCCUCGAGCCCCCCGUGGCUUGGUCGUGAGCCGCGCCCGCGCCAGCCCCGUCCCCCCCCGUGCAGCGGGGGGCAGGGGCGCCGGGCGGGCUCGAAACGCAGUGGCGGCCCCCGGGCGACUUCCAGCGCGAUGACAUGUUUCGCUGCCGAAGCCUUCGCCCCGGGUGCCCGCCAGGCAACCCCCGUGCUUCUUACGCGGUUGACCUCGGAUCAGGCAGGGAUACCCGCUGAACUUAAGCAUAUCAAUAAGCGGAGGA